CAGCAGCCGCGGUAAUACGAAGGGGGCUAGCGUUGCUCGGAAUGACUGGGCGUAAAGGGCGCGUAGGCGGAUGGCACAGUCAGAUGUGAAAUUCCCGGGCUUAACCUGGGGGCUGCAUUUGAUACGUGUUGUCUAGAGUGAGGAAGAGGGUCGUGGAAUUCCCAGUGUAGAGGUGAAAUUCGUAGAUAUUGGGAAGAACACCGGUGGCGAAGGCGGCGACCUGGUCCUUUACUGACGCUGAGGCGCGAAAGCGUGAGGAGCAAACAGGAUUAGAUACCCGGGUAGUCCCUGUCUCUUAUAC
Molecule: ribosomal RNA, 301 nt
Filed under: uncultured bacterium
Lineage: Bacteria
Description: partial 16S ribosomal RNA
Rfam family: Bacterial small subunit ribosomal RNA
Source: RNAcentral